GAGGAAUAUUGGUCAAUGGACGGAAGUCUGAACCAGCCAAGUAGCGUGCAGGAUGACGGCCCUAUGGGUUGUAAACUGCUUUUGUAUGGGGAUAAAGUUAGGGACGUGUCCCUAUUUGCAGGUACCAUACGAAUAAGGACCGGCUAAUUCCGUGCCAGCAGCCGCGGUAAUACGGAAGGUCCAGGCGUUAUCCGGAUUUAUUGGGUUUAAAGGGAGCGUAGGCUGGAGAUUAAGUGUGUUGUGAAAUGUAGACGCUCAACGUCUGAAUUGCAACGCAUACUGGUUUCCUUGAGUACGCACAACGUUGGCGGAAUUCGUCGUGUAGCGGUGAAAUGCUUAGAUAUGACGAAGAACUCCGAUUGCGAAGGCAGCUGACGGGAGCGCAACUGACGCUUAAGCUCGAAGGUGCGGGUAUCAAACAGGAUUAGAUACCCUGGUAGUCCGCACAGUAAACGAUGGAUGCCCGCUGUUGGUACCUGGUAUCAGCGGCUAAGCGAAAGCAUUAAGCAUCCCACCUGGGGAGUACGCCGGCAACGGUG
RNAcentral lists this ribosomal RNA (539 nucleotides) under uncultured bacterium. Its description in RNAcentral is "bacterial SSU rRNA". It matches the Rfam family "Bacterial small subunit ribosomal RNA", at positions 356 to 896 of the family's 1533-position model. The record is from RNAcentral.